GGAUGAACGCUAGCGGAAGGCUUAACACAUGCAAGUCGAGGGGUAAAGAGUAGCAAUACUUUGAGACCGGCGGACGGGUGCGUAACGCGUAUGCAACUUACCUUAAGCAGGGGGAUAGGUCCCGGAAACGGGAAUUAAAACCGCAUGACACAUUAGAUUCGCAUGGGUUUAAUGUAAAAGUUGAGGUGGCUUAAGAUGGGCAUGCGUCUGAUUAGCUGGUUGGUAGGGUAACGGCCUACCAAGGCGACGAUCAGUAGGGGUUCUGAGAGGAUACACCCCCACACUGGUACUGAGACACGGACCAGACUCCUACGGGAGGCAGCAGUGAGGAAUAUUGGUCAAUGGGCGGAAGCCUGAACCAGCCAUUCCGCGUGAAGGAAGAAGGCCUUACGGGUUGUAAACUUCUUUUCUGUAAGAAGAAUAACCGGGACGAGUUUCCGGGAUGACGGUAUUAUAGGAAUAAGCAUCGGCUAACUCCGUGCCAGCAGCCGCGGUAAUACGGAGGAUGCAAGCGUUAUCCGGAUUUAUUGGGUUUAAAGGGUGCGCAGGUUGUUUGACAAGUCAGUGGUGAAAGUCUGCCGCUUAACGGAAGGAUUGCCAUUGAUACUGUUGGACUUGAGUAUGGAUAAGGUAUGCGGAAUGUGUAGUGUAGCGGUGAAAUGCAUAGAUAUUACACAGAACACCGAUUGCGAAGGCAGCAUACUGGGCCAUUACUGACGCUGAGGCACGAAAGCGUGGGGAUCAAACAGGAUUAGAUACCCUGGUAGUCCACGCCGUAAACGAUGAUCACUCGCUGUUUGCGAUAUACAGUAAGCGGCUAAGCGAAAGCGUUAAGUGAUCCACCUGGGGAGUACGAUCGCAAGGUUGAAACUCAAAGGAAUUGACGGGGGCCCGCACAAGCGGAGGAACAUGUGGUUUAAUUCGAUGAUACGCGAGGAACCUUACCUGGGCUUAAAUGGGGGACGACAGCUGCUGAAAGGUGGUUUUCUUCGGACGUUCUUCAAGGUGCUGCAUGGUUGUCGUCAGCUCGUGCCGUGAGGUGUCGGGUUAAGUCCCAUAACGAGCGCAACCCUUACUGUUAGUUGCCAUCGGGUAAAGCCGGGGACUCUAGCGGGACUGCCACCGUAAGGUGAGAGGAAGGUGGGGAUGACGUCAAAUCAGCACGGCCCUUAUGUCCAGGGCUACACACGUGUUACAAUGGCCGGUACAAAGGGCAGCUACACCGCGAGGUGAUGCUAAUCUCGAAACCCGGUCUCAGUUCGGAUCGAAGUCUGCAACCCGACUUCGUGAAGUUGGAUUCGCUAGUAAUCGCGCAUCAGCCACGGCGCGGUGAAUACGUUCCCGGGCCU
This 1349-nucleotide ribosomal RNA is filed under the name uncultured bacterium. Its description in RNAcentral is "bacterial SSU rRNA". It matches the Rfam family "Bacterial small subunit ribosomal RNA", at positions 27 to 1381 of the family's 1533-position model. The record is from RNAcentral.